CUGGGAACUGCACAUGUGCAACUCCCAACAAAGAUUUUGUACUGCGGAUCGAGAUGGCUAGCCUUAGAGGAGAGAAGAUUCAGCCAUAACCUAUAUGUUUGAGCCUCAGUCAGACGCAGAUCACACGGACUAUCAGAAUGGUAAAACAUGAAGACAGAUCGGUUAGCACCUCUGUGACAUUCUCUAGUGAAUCUGGGCUCAGAGCCAUAAUGGAGUCCACCGUGUUAUUUAAUCUGUUCUGGUCCUCAGACAACACAGCGAUGCACAACACCAGCUGAUGCACCUAAAUAAAAACUGUCUGUGUAAAA
This is a long non-coding RNA of Micropterus dolomieu (smallmouth bass), 308 nucleotides long. RefSeq lists it as uncharacterized. The record is from RefSeq and is a predicted model, not a curated record. The transcript has 3 exons. NCBI's taxonomy places the organism in Eukaryota, Metazoa, Chordata, Actinopteri, Centrarchiformes, Centrarchidae.